CUACUUUCUCCUAUGAUCGGAAGGCUAUGAGGAUCUAUCCAAUUUGAUUACUACACUAAUCAAAUUUUAAAUUAAUUAUUUAGAUCAAAUCUAAAUAAUUAAAAUCAAAUUAAAAUUAGAUUAUAUGCAAAACAUUCAUAUCAAAAGCAACAAAGCUUUGAUACCAGUUGAAGGAAAAUAGGCAAUUCAAAACAUGCAUUUUUAAUUUUUUUUAUAGCGAA
This 221-nucleotide long non-coding RNA is filed under the name Elaeis guineensis (African oil palm). RNAcentral's name for it is "long non-coding RNA (EGUI_LNC046152)". Lineage: Eukaryota; Viridiplantae; Streptophyta; Magnoliopsida; Arecales; Arecaceae. The record is from RNAcentral.